GGCAGUGUGGCUCAGUGGAAAGAGCACGGGCUUGGGAGUCAGAGGUCAUGGGUUUGAAUCCCAGAUCUGCCA
Ornithorhynchus anatinus (platypus) is the source of this 72-nucleotide non-coding RNA. NCBI's taxonomy places the organism in Eukaryota, Metazoa, Chordata, Mammalia, Monotremata, Ornithorhynchidae. The record is from Rfam.